GACGUAGGGCGCAAGCGUUGUCCGGAUUUAUUGGGCGUAAAGGGCUCGUAGGCGGCUUGUCGCGUCUGUCGUGAAAGCUCAGGGCUUAACUCUGAGUUUGCGGUGGAUACGGGCAGGCUUGAGGCAAGUAGGGGAGAACGGAAUUCCAUGUGUAGCGGUGAAAUGCGCAGAUAUGUGGAGGAACACCGGUGGCGAAGGCGGUUCUCUGGGCUUGUUCUGACGCUGAUGAGCGAAAGCGUGGGUAGCGAACAGGAUUAGAUACCCCCGUA
Molecule: ribosomal RNA, 269 nt
Filed under: uncultured prokaryote
Description: partial 16S ribosomal RNA
Rfam family: Bacterial small subunit ribosomal RNA
Source: RNAcentral